Oncorhynchus tshawytscha (Chinook salmon) is the source of this 381-nucleotide long non-coding RNA. The record is from Ensembl. Lineage: Eukaryota; Metazoa; Chordata; Actinopteri; Salmoniformes; Salmonidae.
CAGAGUCAAUGUGGAGGCUAUAUACAGGGUAUUACGGUACAGAGUCAAUGUGGAGGCUAUAUACAGGGGGUACUGGUACAGAGUCAAUGUGGAGGCUAUAUACAGGGGGUACUGGUACAGAGUCAAUGUGGAGGCUAUAUACAGGGUGUUACGGUACAGAGUCAAUGUGGAGGCUAUAUACAGGGGGUUGCGGUACAGAGUGAAUGUGGAGGCUAUAUACAGGGGGUAGCGGUACAGAGUCAAUGUGGAGGCUAUAUACAGGGGGUACCGGUACAGAGUCAAUGUGGAGGCUUUAUACAGGGGGUACCAGUACAGAGUCAAUGUGGAGGCUAUAUACAGGGGGUACCGGUACAGAGUCAAUGUGGAGGCUAUAUACAGGGG